Molecule: ribosomal RNA, 485 nt
Filed under: uncultured bacterium
Lineage: Bacteria
Description: partial 16S ribosomal RNA
Rfam family: Bacterial small subunit ribosomal RNA
Source: RNAcentral
AUUGAACGCUGGCGGCAUGCCUUACACAUGCAAGUCGAACGGCAGCACGGGUGCUUGCACCUGGUGGCGAGUGGCGAACGGGUGAGUAAUACAUCGGAACAUGUCCUGUAGUGGGGGAUAGCCCGGCGAAAGCCGGAUUAAUACCGCAUACGAUCUACGGAUGAAAGCGGGGGACCUUCGGGCCUCGCGCUGUAGGGUUGGCCGAUGGCUGAUUAGCUAGUUGGUGGGGUAAAGGCCUACCAAGGCGACGAUCAGCAGCUGGUCUGAGAGGACGACCAGCCAAACUGGGACUGAGACACGGCCCAGACUCCUACGGGAGGCAGCAGUGGGGAAUUUUGGACAAUGGGCGAAAGCCUGAUCCAGCAAUGCCGCGUGUGUGAAGAAGGCCUUCGGGUUGUAAAGCACUUUUGUCCGGAAAGAAAUCCUUGGCCCUAAUACGGUCGGGGAAUGACGGUACCGGAAGAAUAGGCACCGGCUAACUACGU